GAUGAACGCUGGCGGCGUGCCUAAUACAUGCAAGUCGAACGAACAGGCGAGGAUCUUGCUCCUUCGACGUUAGCGGCGGACGGGUGAGUAACACGUAGGUAACCUACCUACUAGACUGGAAUAACUUCGGGAAACCGGAGCUAAUACCGGAUAAUAUUUCGAACCGCAGGGUUCGAUAGUUAAAGAUGGCUUUGCUAUUACUGAUAGAUGGACCUGCGCCGUAUUAGCUUGUUGGUAAGGUAACGGCUUACCAAGGCAACGAUACGGAGCCGACCUGAGGGGGUGAUCGGCCACGCUGGAACUGAGACACGGUCCAGACUCCUACGGGAGGCAGCAGUAGGGAAUCUUCCGCAAUGGGCGAGAGCCUGACGGAGCAACGCCGAGUGAGUGAUGAAGGUCUUCGGAUCGUAAUACUCUGUUAUUAGGGAAGAACAAACGUGUAAGUAACUGUGCACGUCUUGACGGUACCUAAUCAGAAAGCCACGGCUAACUACGUG
RNAcentral lists this ribosomal RNA (497 nucleotides) under uncultured bacterium. Its description in RNAcentral is "partial 16S ribosomal RNA". It matches the Rfam family "Bacterial small subunit ribosomal RNA", at positions 28 to 507 of the family's 1533-position model. The record is from RNAcentral.